Molecule: long non-coding RNA, 1658 nt
Organism: Phyllopteryx taeniolatus (common seadragon)
Lineage: Eukaryota; Metazoa; Chordata; Actinopteri; Syngnathiformes; Syngnathidae
Exons: 4
Source: RefSeq, a predicted model, not a curated record
UGGUAAAAGAAGUCUGAUUAUUUUGUCUGUUUUGUGUUCACUUCCUGUUUUAUUUUGUAAUAGUCCCAACUCUUGUUUUAAGUAACUUGCACUUACCGUGUGUUUCUUGCCAGUCUGAUUGUCUUCUCCGAAAUGAUUGUUUCCACCUGUUGCCCAUUACAUUGUGUGUGUUGCUAUAUAUAGUUUGUGUUUCUUUUUGUCCUGUGCUAGUUUGUGUUUACUAGUGAGUCUUAUUUCUAAGCCAUGUGUUCCAUUCCAUGAUCUUAAGUUAAGUCAAAUGUUGUGCUAUCACUGCACUAAUUAUUAAUCAAAGGACUGUGUUUUGUUUGAUACUUUGUCUUGUUUUGUUUCUUUAGCCACUAGUUUUGCUCAAUAAGGUAGAUUUUGUGUUUGUUGUACUAUUUGGCUUUUCCUCUUUGAUGUAUUUUCUGUAGUACUUUUUUCGUUGAGGUAUUAUUCAUUUGAACUUUAUUCCGUUUGCUUUUGUCGUACAUUUGGGUUCAAAUGUAGUCCGGACGUGACGGCUAUUGUAUUUUCCCAACUUGCUUUUUAGCAUCCAGUUUCUGAUGGCUUGUGGUAAAAAUCUGGUGUUCACUUAGAUUCAGAGUGGACAGGAGCUGAAUGGGAUGCUAAUUCACACGGUCUUUAAGACCAAAGCUCUGUCUGUACGUGAGACCAAGGACUGUUUUAGUAAGUGUGAGAUUUUUCUAGUGUGUGGGUGUUUAAAUAUCUAUUUCUUUCUCUGAGACUGAGAAUGGCUGUUCACCAACUUCACCCAUUAUAAACACAUCAAACAUGCAAGCAGAAAAUGACAGCGAGGAUGUUUGGGUUGUAGUUGACGUUAAUCAGCUUCAUGCAGAGAGGGGGAGUAAUGGAACCAUUGGGACUGAUACCAGCAGUCAUGAUGGAGAUGAAAAUCUGGUCAUGUAGAUGGGCAUGGGUCCAACCACUCAGCCAGCAGUAGUGUUCAUGUUAAAAGAGAUGAGACCACUGGUGCCAGUGGGCAGGAUGAUGACUAUUCAUAUUUGAGACUUGUUUCUUCUUCUCCUCCUUACUUUUCUGAUGAGGAAUUACAACAAGCUAUAAUUGCCAGUAUGGAGAGUCAAACGUCAGAAAAGGUUCCUGUCCAAGAAAUAUUACUGGAACUUUCAAGCAAAUUAAACACAAAAAGGCAGUGUAAAUUUAACAUAAAUCGCACUGCUGUAUGGGAGGGAGCUAUACGAGGCUUCCAAAGGUUGUCCUAUGGCUCCAAUUUUCUGAUGUAUGUAAAACAUUGGGCAACAUUGCCAGGUCACCCAUGUUUGAGGGGGAAAAAAGAACAAGAACUUGGUGCUUUCCAGUACAGAUUUCUGCUAUCAUUGUGCAGCUCUCAGAGGGGACUGGGACUACUUUGCUGGCAGAGCCAUUGCAGCGAGCUUGGUACAUGGUGGUCCACCACCAAACGUCCUUUCUCCAGUACUAUUUAGUUUUCUGGUCAAUGGUUCAGCAAAUCGAAAAGUCCAAGAUAUAGCUGACACCGAACUCAUGGGUAAAGUAAAAAAGUGUGUUCCUGAUCCACGUAAUUCCUGCCACCAAGCCAGCCGCCUGUCCUCACCACUACCUGCCACCUGUCCACACCGCCGCCUGCCAACCCACCUUUCAUCAAUAAACUAUUCAUC